CUCCCAUAUGGUCGACCUGCAGGCGGCCGCGAAUUCACUAGUGAUUCGUAUUACCGCGGGUGCUGGCACGUAGUUAGCCGGUGCUUAUUCUUACGGUACCGUCAUUAGCCUUCUUUAUUAGAAAAGACCGUUUCGUUCCGUACAAAAGCAGUUUACAACCCGAAGGCCUUCAUCCUGCACGCGGCAUGGCUGGAUCAGGCUUUCGCCCAUUGUCCAAAAUUCCCCACUGCUGCCUCCCGUAGGAGUCUGGGCCGUGUCUCAGUCCCAGUGUGGCUGGUCGUCCUCUCAGACCAGCUACAGAUCGAAGGCUUGGUGAGCCUUUACCUCACCAACUACCUAAUCUGCCAUCGGCCGCUCCAUUCGCGCAAGGUCUUGCGAUCCCCUGCUUUCAUCCGUAGAUCGUAUGCGGUAUUAGCACAGCUUUCGCUGCGUUAUCCCCCACGAUUGGGCACGUUCCGAUGUAUUACUCACCCGUUCGCCACUCGCCGCCAGGAUUGCUCCCGCGCUGCCGUUCGACUUGCAUGUGUAAGGCAUGCCGCCAGCGUUCAAUCUGAGCCAUGAUCAAACUCUAAUCGAAUUCCCGCGGCCG
RNAcentral lists this ribosomal RNA (589 nucleotides) under uncultured beta proteobacterium. RNAcentral's name for it is "partial 16S ribosomal RNA". The record is from RNAcentral. Lineage: Bacteria; Pseudomonadati; Pseudomonadota; Betaproteobacteria.